Molecule: long non-coding RNA, 1108 nt
Filed under: Vulpes vulpes (red fox)
Lineage: Eukaryota; Metazoa; Chordata; Mammalia; Carnivora; Canidae
Description: lncRNA (ENSVVUG00000009645.1)
Source: RNAcentral
CACGUGAUCAUAUUUUAAUUAGCAAAGAUUUAUUGAGAGUCAUCGGUCAGAAGUGGGGAAAACUGAAGACAAAUUUAAGAGAAACUUCCACCCAAUAAAGAAAAUAAAAAGAAGGAAGGUGGAAAGAUGGAGAUGCCAGAAGACACUCCUUCAGGGCCUGUGUAGUGGAUAAUGAGACACAACACAGCAAAAUCCGCUUCUUGCUUCUUCCACAUGGAAGAUGAAGGAGGAGAUCUAGAAAGAAAAAGAGAGAACUCCCUCCGGGGCAAGACUUGGUCUCAGCUUGUGGCAGUGCGAGCAGAUGUGGACAAGUGGGAAACACUUGGGCAGUGGCCUGGAGUAAGAGCCCUUGCUCAUCAUCUCCUCACACCCCUGUCAUGCACUUACUUGUUCCUGAACAGCUGGGCUGCAGGCAGGAGGAAAGGUAACCACCAGAUCAGCCUUCAUGAAGGGAGACCGAGGGAGAGAGGCAAAAGACGCAGAGAACAACAUUCAAAUGCAGCCCAGGCUCCACUUUGGGGAAAGGCCUUCUUGAUUUGCUGGGGCCACGUGCAAUGAAUGGCACAUGCACACGGUUAAUGGAGGUUUCCACCGGGAGUCUAGGCGUGUGGAUUCUUCUACUCCCUAUUUCUGCAUAUGUGCAAUGUGUUAAUUGUUCACAACGUGUCUGACAUCUUUAUAGGUAAAAGAAAAGCUGAGCUGCCGUAGUAGUGAAAAUGGAGAGUCUCUUACUGUGCCCGCCACACAGCGGAGUAGAUGAGGAGAAACCGCCUCCUCUGGUGUGAACGGUGGUUAUGUGCAUGCACAGAGCCCAUGAGAGAAGGCAGUGGCUCCGAGUAUAGUUUUUAGGGCUUCCGCAGCUCAUGGGCUGAGCCAGUUUCACCCCUGUCAUCACCAACCAUGCAGUCACGCAUGCAUACAAACUACUUCAGUUCCAUUGCGCACCCCCUUUGCCUUCCUCCCGUUGAGAAUCUCUUCCCCCCUGCAGGGAGUGUGGUCGACCAAAGGCCUCUGAUCCGUGGAACACGAUGCCUGGCUGGUGCAGAAGUCAGGCCUCCCCCCGGCGGCUCUUGGCCAAGGGGCCGAGGGUGACAAGGGUGCUCAGCUG